AUUGAACGCUGGCGGCAUGCUUUACACAUGCAAGUCGAACGGCAGCGCGGGCUUCGGCCUGGCGGCGAGUGGCGAACGGGUGAGUAAUACAUCGGAACGUGCCCAGUAGUGGGGGAUAGCUCGGCGAAAGCCGGAUUAAUACCGCAUACGACCUGAGGGUGAAAGCGGGGGAUCUUCGGACCUCGCGCUAUUGGAGCGGCCGAUGGCAGAUUAGCUAGUUGGUUGGGUAAAGGCCUACCAAGGCGGCGAUCUGUAGCUGGUCUGAGAGGACGACCAGCCACACGGGGACUGAGACACGGCCCAGACUCCUACGGGAGGCAGCAGUGGGGAAUUUUGGACAAUGGGCGAAAGCCUGAUCCAGCAAUGCCGCGUGUGUGAUGAAGGCCUUCGGGUUGUAAAGCACUUUUGGCGGGAACGAAAAGGACUGUGCCAAUACCACGGUUCGAUGACGGUACCCGCAGAAUAAGCACCGGCUAACUACGUG
RNAcentral lists this ribosomal RNA (484 nucleotides) under uncultured bacterium. Its description in RNAcentral is "partial 16S ribosomal RNA". It matches the Rfam family "Bacterial small subunit ribosomal RNA", at positions 29 to 507 of the family's 1533-position model. The record is from RNAcentral.